GAACUUAAGCAUAUCAAUAAGCGGAGGAAAAGAAACUAACAAGGAUUCCCUCAGUAACUGCGAGUGAAGUGGGAAAAGCUCAAAUUUGAAAUCUGGCAGCUCUUUCAGGUUGUCCGAGUUGUAAUCUAGAGAAGCGUUACCUGUGUUGGACCGUGUAAAAGUCUUCUGGAAUGGAGCAUCAUAGAGGGUGAGAAUCCCGUCUUUGACAUGGACUACCAGCAUGCCAAGGUGCACUCUCAAAGAGUCGAGUUGUUUGGGAAUGCAGCUCAAAAUGGGUGGUAAAUGCCAUCUAAAGCUAAAUAUUGGCGAGAGACCGAUAGCGAACAAGUACCGUGAGGGAAAGAUGAAAAGAACUUUGGAAAGAGAAUUAAACAGUACGUGAAAUUGCUGAAAGGGAAACGCUUAAAGUCAGUCGCAUUAGCUGGAAAUCAGGCUUGCUUUUGCAAGGUGCACUUUCUAGUUGAUGGGUCAGCAUCAAUUUUAAUCGUUGGAUAAAGUCAUUGGGAAUGUGGCAUCUUUGGAUGUGUUAUAGCCCAGUGUUGAAUACAGCGGUCAGGAUUGAGGAAUUCAGCAUGCCUCUAGGGGCCAGGUUUCGACCAUGUUCAUGCUUAGGAUGCUGGCAUAAUGGCUUUAAUCGACCCGUCUUGAAACACGGACCAAGGAGUCUAACAUGCCUGCGAGUGUUUGGGUGAAAAACCCAUACGCACAAUGAAAGUGAAAGUUGAGAUCCUUAGGGAGCAUUGACGCCCGGACCAGACCUUCUGUGACGGAUCCGCGGUAGAGCAUGUAUGUUGGGACCCGAAA
RNAcentral lists this ribosomal RNA (804 nucleotides) under uncultured fungus. Its description in RNAcentral is "eukaryotic LSU rRNA". It matches the Rfam family "Eukaryotic large subunit ribosomal RNA", at positions 30 to 821 of the family's 3401-position model. Lineage: Eukaryota; Fungi. The record is from RNAcentral.